CAGGGAGACAACACAAUGAUUUUGAUGUCUGAGUAUUUUAAUUCUUAGGCCGAAAUCCUGUCACCUUAGGUCGAUCGGUACCUCAAGUUGAGAAUCAAAGAAAAGCUGAGUAAUCAGCUUGGAGAUUGAUGAUUGAUUUUAGUUCCUAAACUUGUCUAGGUCACACCCCGCAAGGGUUACUCCUGGGCCAUUAGCUCAGGUGGUUAGAGCGCACCCCUGAUAAGGGUGAGGUCCCUGGUUCAAGUCCAGGAUGGCCCAUUCGGUGUUGGGGGUUUAGCUCAGUUGGUAGAGCGCCUGCUUUGCAAGCAGGAUGUCAGCGGUUCGAGUCCGCUUACCUCCACUGAUCGACCUCCUUAAUAUCGUAUUCAAAGGAGAUUGACUUGUUUUAAAGUGACUUAGAAAGAAGUUGUUUCGCUGAAUGAACCUAGCUUCUUAUCAUUCCCAAUCUAUAUAAAUAGAAUAGGUUGAUAUGACGCUGGGCUCACUGCAAAUUCUAAUUGCAGAGAUGUUCAGUAGAACCUUGAAAACUGCAUAGGUGAGUCUGGAAAGAAUAAAGCAUCUCAUGGAUGCAUUCUUCUUAUUCAGUUGGAUUUCUAACUGGAAAGAAUAAUGAUUAAUUCUUGAGCAAGAGCAAAAGAUAAUUAGGGUUUGUACCUUAAUUAAAU
RNAcentral lists this transfer RNA (665 nucleotides) under uncultured cyanobacterium. RNAcentral's name for it is "partial 16S-23S ribosomal RNA intergenic spacer". The stretch from base 185 to 258 matches the Rfam family "tRNA". Lineage: Bacteria; Bacillati; Cyanobacteriota. The record is from RNAcentral.